AUUGAACGCUGGCGGCAUGCCUUACACAUGCAAGUCGAACGGCAGCACGGGAGCAAUCCUGGUGGCGAGUGGCGAACGGGUGAGUAAUAUAUCGGAACGUGCCCAGUCGUGGGGGAUAACGUAGCGAAAGCUACGCUAAUACCGCAUACGAUCUAUGGAUGAAAGCGGGGGAUCGCAAGACCUCGCGCGAUUGGAGCGGCCGAUAUCAGAUUAGGUAGUUGGUGAGGUAAAGGCUCGCCAAGCCGACGAUCUGUAGCUGGUCUGAGAGGACGACCAGCCACACUGGGACUGAGACACGGCCCAGACUCCUACGGGAGGCAGCAGUGGGGAAUUUUUGGGACAAUGGGCGCAAGCCUGAUCCAGCAAUGCCGCGUGCAGGAUGAAGGCCUUCGGUUGUAAC
This 400-nucleotide ribosomal RNA is filed under the name uncultured bacterium. Its description in RNAcentral is "bacterial SSU rRNA". It matches the Rfam family "Bacterial small subunit ribosomal RNA", at positions 30 to 429 of the family's 1533-position model. The record is from RNAcentral.